UUCAGCGACCAUAGCGCUGUGGUACCACCCGAUCCCAUUCCGAACUCGGAAGUGAAACGCAGCUGCGCCGAUGGUAGUGUGGCUCAAGCCAUGUGAGAGUAGGUCAUCGCUGAAC
RNAcentral lists this ribosomal RNA (115 nucleotides) under Marilutibacter maris. Lineage: Bacteria; Pseudomonadati; Pseudomonadota; Gammaproteobacteria; Lysobacterales; Lysobacteraceae. The record is from RNAcentral.